GCCGGGAUAGCUCAGUCGGUAGAGCAACGGAUUGAAAAUCCGUGUGUCCUCAGUUCAAUUCUGAGUCCCGGCA
Molecule: transfer RNA, 73 nt
Filed under: Candidatus Auribacterota bacterium
Lineage: Bacteria; Pseudomonadati; Candidatus Auribacterota
Description: tRNA-Phe
Rfam family: tRNA
About the family: Transfer RNA (tRNA) molecules are approximately 80 nucleotides in length. Their secondary structure includes four short double-helical elements and three loops (D, anti-codon, and T loops).
Source: RNAcentral